This 253-nucleotide ribosomal RNA is filed under the name uncultured bacterium. RNAcentral's name for it is "partial 16S ribosomal RNA". It matches the Rfam family "Bacterial small subunit ribosomal RNA", at positions 524 to 776 of the family's 1533-position model. The record is from RNAcentral.
UACAGAGGGGGCAAGCGUUAUUCGGAAUUAUUGGGCGUAAAGGGCGCGUAGGCGGCGAUUCAAGUGACGGGUGAAAUCCCUCGGCUUAACCGAGGAACUGCCUGUCAGACUGGGUUGCUUGAGACCGGGAGAGGCGAGUGGAAUUCCCAGUGUAGCGGUGAAAUGCGCAGAUAUCAGGAGGAACACCAAUGGCGAAGGCAGCUCGCUGGAACGGUACUGACGCUGAGGCGCGAAAGCGUGGGGAGCGAACAGG